Molecule: ribosomal RNA, 497 nt
Filed under: uncultured bacterium
Lineage: Bacteria
Description: partial 16S ribosomal RNA
Rfam family: Bacterial small subunit ribosomal RNA
Source: RNAcentral
GAUGAACGCUGGCGGCGUGCCUAAUACAUGCAAGUCGAGCGAACAGACGAGGAGCUUGCUCCUUUGACGUUAGCGGCGGACGGGUGAGUAACACGUGGGUAACCUACCUAUAAGACUGGGAUAACUUCGGGAAACCGGAGCUAAUACCGGAUAAUAUUUCGAACCGCAUGGUUCGAUAGUGAAAGAUGGCUCUGCUAUCACUUAUAGAUGGACCUGCGCCGUAUUAGCUAGUUGGUAAGGUAACGGCUUACCAAGGCAACGAUACGUAGCCGACCUGAGAGGGUGAUCGGCCACACUGGAACUGAGACAAGGUCCAGACUCCUACGGGAGGCAGCAGUAGGGAAUCUUCCGCAAUGGGCGAAAGCCUGACGGAGCAACGCCGCUUGAGUGAUGAAGGUCUUCGGAUCGUAAAACUCUGUUAUUAGGGAAGAACAAACGUGUAAGUAACUGUGCACGUCUUGACGGUACCUAAUCAGAAAGCCACGGCUAACUACGUG